This 403-nucleotide ribosomal RNA is filed under the name uncultured Acetobacterium sp. RNAcentral's name for it is "bacterial SSU rRNA". It matches the Rfam family "Bacterial small subunit ribosomal RNA", at positions 356 to 774 of the family's 1533-position model. The record is from RNAcentral. Lineage: Bacteria; Bacillati; Bacillota; Clostridia; Eubacteriales; Eubacteriaceae.
GGGGAAUAUUGCGCAAUGGGGGAAACCCUGACGCAGCAAUACCGCGUGAGUGAAGAUGGUUUUCGGAUCGUAAAGCUCUGUUAAUGGGGAUGAAUAAAAUACGGUAACCAAGAUAAAAGUCCCGGCUAACCACGUUCCAGCAGCCGCGGUAAUACGUAGGGGACAAGCGUUGUCCGGGAUUAACUGGGCGUAAAGGGCACGCAGGCGGUUUUUUAAGUCAGAUGUGAAAGGUACCGGCUCAACCGGUAACAUGCUUUGAAACUGAAAGACUGGAGUAUUGGAGAGGCAAGUGGAAUUCCUAGUGUAGCGGUGAAAUGCGUAGAUAUUAGGAGGAACACCGGUGGCGAAGGCGGCUCGCUGGACAAAUACUGACGCUGAGGUGCGAAAGCGUGGGGAGCAAACA